Molecule: long non-coding RNA, 492 nt
Organism: Peromyscus eremicus (cactus mouse)
Lineage: Eukaryota; Metazoa; Chordata; Mammalia; Rodentia; Cricetidae
Exons: 3
Source: RefSeq, a predicted model, not a curated record
CAGUGAUGAUGGAAGUUACCAGUACAGUAUGUGGGAUGGCAUCCUCCACCCAGUGUAUCCUUUGGUGCAUACCUUGGUGGUGAACGCUUACCCAUGAAGUGAGAGCUGAGCCCUGCUGUGGUGUGGACCCCAUGAUAUUCUUACCAGUGAGAGCUGAGCCCUGCUGUGGCGGACCCCCAUGAUAUUCUUACCAAGAUGAGGAUGAUUGAAGAUGUAUGAGUGAGCUUCCUCUCACAGUGACUAGAACUUGGACCCAGUAGCAGUGCCAUGGAUGCUCAUGAAAUGAGACUCAUCCUAGAAAUGGGAAACAGAUCACAGAAGUGAAUCCUUACUACACUCGGAAUCCUUGAGGACUUGAAGCUUCUGCUCUACAAGAAGAGACUUCUCAUAAAGUUUCCCAUGAAGACAGAGGGUAUUGGCAAAUACUUUAUUAAGGAGUGCCAUUGGGAAGAACAGCAGUAAAGAACAGGGUGUGUGGAGGAGGAGGAGGGG